UGACUGGUACAAAGCAUGCUGCUGGAAGAUUGUUGUUGCGGAACCAAGCACCUUGCUCAACCCUCUUACAAUUUAGCAUUUCAAAUGCAACAUUUAUGUGCUGCCAAUGUAACAAUAUAGUUAGAAACUCCAUAUAGAACUGCUAUAACAUGGACAUCUAACAUAGCUCAACUCAACCUCUUCCUAAACAUAUGACACAAUCAAAUAUCCACAAAGCAU
Molecule: long non-coding RNA, 219 nt
Filed under: Brassica napus (rape)
Lineage: Eukaryota; Viridiplantae; Streptophyta; Magnoliopsida; Brassicales; Brassicaceae
Description: long non-coding RNA (BNAP_LNC011809)
Source: RNAcentral